AGUGGAGUUAUGAGGCUUCUCCUUUCUCCCUCCCCCGAGCAGUUCCAAAAACCUCAUAAAACCCCUCCCUUCAACGCAGAGAGAAAACUGGGAAAUUACAGAAACCAGUUCGAGUUAAAAAUGGCUACUCAGUUACCGGACGAUUUCAAGUGCCCGAUUUCUCUCGAGAUAAUGUCCGACCCCGUAAUUCUCUCAUCGGGUCACACCUUUGACCGUGCUUCUAUCCAACGGUGGCUUGACUCUGGCCACCGUACUUGCCCAAUUACUAAGCUACCUCUUCCCGACCAUCCUCCUCUCAUCCCCAACCAUGCUCUUAGAAGUCUGAUUUCCAAUUAUACCCUCCUCUUCCCUCCAAAAUCACAGCUUAACGCUUCACCGCCGCCAUCAAAACCACAGCCUCAAACCCUAUUCUCCACUCUCACUUCUCCGUCUUCUCCUCUCAACUCCAAGCUUGUCUUGCUCUCCCAGCUCACGAGACUCACCAAGCUCGACCAUGGCCUUCGCCGCCAGCUGACAGAGUCUGGAGCCGUAUCCGCUGUUCUCAACUGUGUCAGCUCGCCGGAGUCGGUCCUCCAAGAGAAAGCCCUCUCUCUAUUACUCAAUCUCUCUCUCGACGAUGAUAAUAAGGUGGGUCUAGUGGCGGAAGGUGCAAUUGGCCGGGUCGUCACAGUUCUGCGGGUUGGAUCGCCGGAUAGCCGUGCCAUAGGUUGCACUAUCUUGACCAGUCUGGCAGUCGUAGAAGUAAACAAAGCGACAAUUGGGGCGUAUCCAAAUGCAAUUCAAGCGUUGGUCACGCUACUAAAUUAUGGGAAUGGUAGAGAGGUGAAAGAAGCAGCAACAACGUUGUAUGCUAUCUGUUCAUUUCCGGAUAACAGAAGGCGGGCUGUGGAAUGUGGGGCGGUGCCAAUUUUGGUGAGGAUAGGCGGGAUGGGUCUGGAGAGAGCAGUGGAAGUCUUGAGCAUGUUGGUGAAGUGUAAGGAAGGGAGAGAAGAGAUGGGGAGGAUUGGUGGGUGUUUGAGGGUUUUGGUGAAGGUGAUUAAGAAUGGGAGCAAGAGAGGGAUUCAGUGUGGGCUUUUCACUUUGAAUUAUUUGUGUUGUUACAGUGAGGAAAUGUGUGGGGAAGCCAAGAGAGAAGGGGUUUUGGAGAUAUGUUUGGGGUUGGUGGAGGAUGACAACGAGAAGGUAAGCAGGAAUGCUUCCAGUUUGGUGCAAACGCUAAGUGGGUGCCGCUUGGUGGAGUGAUGGAGGGUCGCUGUCGGUUAUGGAUGGAGGUGGGGAAAUUUUGAUGGGAAGAAGUCUCUGUUCUAAAGAAUCUAAUUUCUGAAGCUUGCAAUGAUGAUUUAGUAAUUUAGUCAAAAUCAUUAGAUGGAAGGGAACAAACAGGCUGACUUUUGUGGGUGGAUGAAGAAUUUGUUUGGCAGAUUGAAAGGGGUUCAGCACGAGUAGUAAAACUUGUAAUUGCUGAUGACGUGGAACAAAAUAAGUGGGUAAAAGAAGCAUCUUGCCUAAGUGAAUGUCUCCUCAUACAAGUAAAGUUUUAUACUUUCACUUUGCCAUCUCUUUUAUUGAUACUAAUUUCUUUCUAUUUUAAUGUUCUUCCUUCUCCAUUUCUUUCUUUGACAAAGACAUUUCUCAAGAAAAUCAACUAUAUCAUCCAAGAAAUAAAGGCCAAGAGACUGGUUGGAUUCCUUUUUUUUUUUUUUUUUCUUUCUUGUGGGGUUUCAAUGAGGUUGGAGAUUCAUGCAAGUUAUUGUCUUUUCUUAAUCUAGAAAAUGAAAACUCCUUUUUUAUUUAGCAGAAUCUGUUUUCUUUGAUUAGCCAAUUUUGCAGUGGCUUGGAUUGAAAGUUUGCUCUUACUUAACACCUCUCUUGUAUCUAGUGUGAAACUAUGAUAUUGAUUAGAUUCUCUAUGUAUGAUUAGACAUAUCACUAAUUUCAUCAUGCUUUCGGUUUUUUAA
RNA transcript from Hevea brasiliensis (rubber tree), 1958 nucleotides. It is a transcript of the gene named U-box domain-containing protein 8-like, with no coding region annotated. Lineage: Eukaryota; Viridiplantae; Streptophyta; Magnoliopsida; Malpighiales; Euphorbiaceae. The transcript is spliced from 3 exons. The record is from RefSeq and is a predicted model, not a curated record.